UUCUCGACCCUUCCUUGGCCGACUCCUAGUCGGCCUUCAGGAUCCAGCUUAGAGGUCACUUCAUUCAUCAGAGACAUUGACGGAUGGGUCACUGUGGCCCAGGCAUUGCUCCACACACUGAGGAUACAGCUAGGAACAAGGAGAGAGUAGACCAGGCCCCUGCUCUCAUCAAGCUCACUUUAUACCCAACCUCAAACCUGACAGUGAAGAAUUGCAAAAGCCGUUCGAUCAGAGGCCUGACACUGCCCCACUGAGAAAACAAGGUGUUGUGAAGACGGUCACGUAAGAAAAUACAGUGAUGGCCAAGUGGAGGGGAACGAUGCUGCAACCCACACCAGAUGCCAGUGGCACUCAUUCUUGUGACAUCUGUGAAGGUAUACGGGUUCGAGCUCUGCUCCAGAAAGAUCCCACACGCCGUGGAGCAACUAAGCCCGUGUGCCACAACUAUUGAGCCAUGUGCUGCAACUACUGAAGCCCACAUGCCUAGAGCCUGUGCUCCGCAACAAGAGAAGCCACCGCAAUGAGAAGCCUGCACACCACAACAAAGGGUAGCCCCCACUUGCCACAACUAGAGAAAGCCCACUUGCAGCA
Molecule: long non-coding RNA, 591 nt
Organism: Hippopotamus amphibius kiboko
Lineage: Eukaryota; Metazoa; Chordata; Mammalia; Artiodactyla; Hippopotamidae
Exons: 4
Source: RefSeq, a predicted model, not a curated record